RNAcentral lists this ribosomal RNA (88 nucleotides) under Clostridia bacterium. The record is from RNAcentral. Lineage: Bacteria; Bacillati; Bacillota; Clostridia.
UGUUCCCAUACCGAACACAGCAGUUAAGCCCUCCAGCGUCGAUGGUACUUGGACCGCAGGGUCCUGGGAGAGUAGAACAUUGCCAGGC